AAAGCGUGCGCAGGCGGCUUUGCAAGACAGAUGUGAAAUCCCCGGGCUCAACCUGGGAACUGCAUUUGUGACUGCAAGGCUAGAGUACGGUAGAGGGGGAUGGAAUUCCGCGUGUAGCAGUGAAAUGCGUAGAUAUGCGGAGGAACACCAAUGGCGAAGGCAAUCCCCUGGACCUGUACUGACGCUCAUGCACGAAAGCGUGGGGAGCAAACAGGAUUAGAUACCCGUGU
RNAcentral lists this ribosomal RNA (230 nucleotides) under uncultured bacterium. RNAcentral describes it as "partial 16S ribosomal RNA". It matches the Rfam family "Bacterial small subunit ribosomal RNA", at positions 562 to 791 of the family's 1533-position model. The record is from RNAcentral.